GCUUGCCUAGUCCACGUAUUACAUGUUCGAAACCAGCGGACGAUCCAAGACCCUCCUCCUCGCUGUAAACAUAAAGAUACACCCUCUGAUCCACGCUCUCCCAACACUCCGGGCAAACCUCAGCCAAACUCCAGGAGAGCGAACCGGUAUCCUCCCACGAUCCACCCCUCCGUUCCCUUUCCCGGGGCCACUCACACUUUAGGGAAGAGCCGUGGCGCUGAGAAAGUGGGCUGGUUCCCUUCCUCGUUCGCUCUGAAGCGGCAGCUGCGGAAGGCUCGGCGCGUUACGGAGGAAGAAGCGGUGCUUGUGUCUCUAAGCCAGGCGGUCACCCGGGUCUCUUCCGCGCCGCCGGAGCAGAGGCGGCGGCAGCGGCCCCGCUUACCUCCGCUUUUCCUCUUCCUGGGUCCCUUCAGGCUGUGUCCGCUGCCCGUCCUGGGCCACUUCUCCCGGGACAGUCACGUUUGGGAGGCUCCAGAUUUUGCUUUUAUAAAGUUUUCCUCUGGGCUGAGGCUGCGGCCGAGGGAAAAGACCCCCCCCCCUCGCGAGGGGGCUGAGGAGAGGGGGAAGGUAAGGAAAGGACGGUGGCGCCGGUCCUGCUCUCCCCGCCGCCGGGGCCGCCGCUUCACAUUGGGGUCCCCGCCCCCCCGGCCGGGGGGUGGUUGCUGAGCGCGAGUCCCGGGUUCAUACACUCUGGGGGCAAGAUGCUAUGGCCCCGGGCGGGUGGCCGAGGCGGCGGCGAGGUGGGGGACCCGGCCGGCUCCGCUCGGCGCCGCCCCCGCUCCCGGCUCCCGCAUGUGUCGCUGCGGCUGGGACCCCCUCCCUACACGUUGGGGGUCCCUCGCCCCGCGCCCCGGGACGAGACAGAAGCUCCGACCCCCUCCUCAGCGUCUUCUCACCGCGGAGCAGCUGACUAGUCCCGGCCUGAGGUAGCCGCCUCCCAGCCCCCCCAGCCGCCGGCUCCGGCUCGGGCUCCGGCGUGUGCAGCCGCCGCUGCCGGCCGGGAAGGUGAGGGGGGGAAAAGAGGGGUGGCCGCGACUCCCGCCGGUCCAGGUCAGGACGAAGGUCUCGGCCGUGGCCAGUGC
Molecule: long non-coding RNA, 1082 nt
Filed under: Felis catus (domestic cat)
Lineage: Eukaryota; Metazoa; Chordata; Mammalia; Carnivora; Felidae
Description: lncRNA (ENSFCAG00000051734.1)
Source: RNAcentral